This 415-nucleotide unclassified non-coding RNA is filed under the name soil metagenome. RNAcentral's name for it is "partial contains 5.8S ribosomal RNA, internal transcribed spacer 2, and large subunit ribosomal RNA". The stretch from base 1 to 119 matches the Rfam family "5.8S ribosomal RNA", at positions 35 to 154 of the family's 154-position model. The record is from RNAcentral.
GAUGAAAACGUAGCGAAAUGCGAUAAGUAAUGUGAAUUGCAGAAUUCAGUGAAUCAUCGAAUCUUUGAACGCACCUUGCACUCCUUGGUAUUCCGAGGAGUACGCCUGUUCGAGUGUUAUGAAGCUCUCAAAACGCAAUUGGCUUAAAACCUGAUUGUUGUUUUGGAUUUGAACUUUGCCGUGUUAUAACGGCUGGUUUUAAAAGUAUUAGCUGGUACUAGAACGAAUUGGUUCUACUCAACGUGAUAAUUAUCUGAUCGUUGAGGACAUUCCUUUCACGAGGAAUGGCCAUAGUAAAUUCAAUGGACUGCUUCUAAUCUGGCUUUAAUUCUUUAUUGGAUUAACCACUUUUCAAAUCUGACCUCGAAUCAGGUGGGACUACCCGCUGAACUUAAGCAUAUCAAUAAGCGGAGGA